AAUAGAUGACGCCGUUGAUAUUUUCUCAUAUGUUUGGCCAUUUGUCUUAUUAAAAAAUUACAUAAUUAUAAUUUAUUUUGUUAUGAGUUGUUUUAUCACUCAUAGUACUUUAAGUGUGAUUUAUAUCUUAUACAUUUGCAUAAAAUUUUUGAAUAAGACGAAUGGUCAAACAUGUGAGAAAAAGUCAAUGGCGUCAUCUAUU
Molecule: microRNA precursor, 202 nt
Filed under: Oryza barthii
Lineage: Eukaryota; Viridiplantae; Streptophyta; Magnoliopsida; Poales; Poaceae
Description: MIR812 microRNA precursor family
Rfam family: MIR812 microRNA precursor family
Source: Rfam by way of RNAcentral